This is a long non-coding RNA of Rhinolophus ferrumequinum (greater horseshoe bat), 320 nucleotides long. RefSeq lists it as uncharacterized. The record is from RefSeq and is a predicted model, not a curated record. NCBI's taxonomy places the organism in Eukaryota, Metazoa, Chordata, Mammalia, Chiroptera, Rhinolophidae. The transcript is spliced from 3 exons.
CCAGCCCAGGGAGGGCUCGCAGAGUCAGAAGGCGCUGUGAGCCAGACGCUCUCUGGAUUGCCUCCUGGAAACUAGUACCAGAGGCGUGCCUCCUAUUCUGAGACAGGGAAUCCAUCUAGGGAGUGGUGUGAAGUUUCCAGAACCUCAGUUCUGGAAGCCAGAAGUUGGCAAUAGUAUCUCUGGACCAAGAUCAAGGUACCGGCAGGGCGGCAGUUCCUCUGGAAACUCAAGGGAGGAGGCAUCUCUUGCUUCUUCCAGCUUAAGAUGCCACAUAUAAGUGAGAUCAUAUGGUAUUUGCAGCACUAUACACAAUAGCCAAG